Long non-coding RNA from Clupea harengus (Atlantic herring), 685 nucleotides. NCBI's taxonomy places the organism in Eukaryota, Metazoa, Chordata, Actinopteri, Clupeiformes, Clupeidae. The record is from Ensembl.
UGGUGCUGUGUGAUGCCAGGGUGCUGUGUGAUGGCCAGGGUGCUGUUGGAUGACCAGGGUGCUGUGUGAUGGCCAGGGUGCUGUGUGAUGAUGGCUAGGGUGCUGUGUGAUGGCCAGGGUGCUGUGUGAUGGCCAGGGUGCUGUGUGAUGGUCAGGGUGCUGUGUGUAGCCAGGGUGCUGUGUGUGGAUGGCCAGGGUGCUGUGUGAUGGCCAGGGUGCUGUGUGAUGAUGGCCAGGGGGCUGUUGGAUGACCAGGGUGCUGUGUGAUGGUCAGGGUGCUGUGUGAUGAUGGCCAGGGUGCUGUGUGAUGGCCAGGGUGCUGUGUGAUGGCCAGGGUGCUGUGUGAUGGCCAGGGUGCUGUGUGAUGGCCAGGGUGCUGUGUGAUGGUCAGGGUGCUGUGUGAUGAUGGCCAGGGUGCUGUGGUGCUGUGUGAUGGCCAGGGUGCUGUGUGAUGGCCAGGGUGCUGUUGGAUGAGAUGCAUAGUGGGAGUAGAAGACACCAGGUGCAGUGAUGGCAUUGAUGGGGGCAUUAAGAGGUGCAGUGAUGGCAUUAAGAGGUGCAGUGAUGGUAUUAAGAGGUGCAGUGAUGGCGUUGAGGGGGCAUUAAUCAUUGGGUCUCUCGGCUGUAGACAGCACUGCUGCCUGCCCACCUGUGCUUCAGCUUCACAUCACGUUAAUUCAGACCC